This 331-nucleotide unclassified non-coding RNA is filed under the name soil metagenome. Its description in RNAcentral is "partial contains 5.8S ribosomal RNA, internal transcribed spacer 2, and large subunit ribosomal RNA". The stretch from base 1 to 122 matches the Rfam family "5.8S ribosomal RNA", at positions 35 to 154 of the family's 154-position model. The record is from RNAcentral.
GAUGAAGAACGUAGCGAAAUGCGAUACGUAAUGUGAAUUGCAGAUCUCUCAGUGAAUCAUCGAAUCUUUGAACGCACAUUGCGCCCCCUGGUAUUCCGGGGGGCAUGCCUGUCCGAGCGUCAUUACAACCCUCAAGCUCAGCUUGGUGUUGGGCCCCGCCGCCCCGGCGGGCCCUAAAGUCAGUGGCGGUGCCGUCCGGCUCCGAGCGUAGUAAUUCUUCUCGCUCUGGAGGUCCGGUCGUGUGCUCGCCAGCAACCCCCAAUUUUUUUCAGGUUGACCUCGGAUCAGGUAGGGAUACCCGCUGAACUUAAGCAUAUCAAUAAGCGGAGGA